GAAAGACACAGUAAAUCUGUAAAGAAUUCAUAAAACAAGGAGAUUUGGGCUUGGAAUAGCUAAUUAGUGAAGAAGUGACAGGAAUGUUUAUACGGCUUUCUUGGCCAUAAAUUCCCUAUCAAUGGUGAUAAAGAUGUCUCUCUACCUCCCAAGAAGUACAUUUCACAUGGUUGAUUUAUACCCUGUUUUCAGAGGGACAAAGGAGGAUCAGAUUGUCCUUCUUGAUCCUGCUGUUUCUUAGGUAACUUUAAUUCAAAAUAAAAUGCCAAACAGAUAUCCACAAUGUUGUAUGCCUGAUAUCAUGCUCCUUUUAAUUAUUUAAUGGUCUGCAUUUUCUUAGUCUUUGACCUCAGAGUCUUUCAUACUUUCUUACCAACUCUAAGGUUUCAUAUUUUCAGCAAGUUGAAUUUUAAGUUGAUUUUUUUCCAAGAUGCAAUGGUAGACUUAUGAUUGCACAAAAUUAGAAAAAAAAAAAAAAGGUUAAAAAUUUCCAAAGAAUAUCAUACACAACAAUUUUCUUCCUUUUUAAAAUUUUUUUUCUUAAAUUUAGAUAUAUGUAUUUGGACCUAAGUAAUAGUAUAAAAAUUUUUUUCCCUGGUAAUUCCUAGGAAGAAGUUAUAGAUAAAAUAUCUGAAAUAGACUGCAGAUAACUUUGAUCUUGAAAUGAUACACUGAUAAAAUAUGAUCCUAUUAUAUAUUCUGAUAGAAUAUGUUUUAUAUUCAGUGUCAUUUUAAAUAUUCUACUUGCAAUGGGAACAUAAUAGUGAAUUAGCUGUUACAUAAGUAGUAAAUGAAAGGUCAGUUCUGCUAGUCCUUCAUUACAAGUCAAAACAAAAGGUAUUGCAUUAUUGAAAACUAGUUAAUGGUCAUGGUAAUUAAGAAAUAUUAAUAAAAAGCUAUCACUUUUGCCAUCUUUCAUUUUACAUAGAUUUACCACAUAAGAGAUAUUACUUCAUGUAGUGGUUAGUUUUGGCAAGAUUGGUAUAUUCUUUUUUAAAACAGAAUUCCCUUCAAGAAACUAACCAAAAGUAGCUAAAACUUUAUGGCUGAAGCGUUUGAGCCAUAUAAAUAUUCUAAGAUGGUCAUGAAUUGAAACUCUGUAUCAAGAUUUAUCUGCAUUUACAUCACUUUUGAGUUUGUAGUUAAUGCUUUGUAACAACCCAUACUUAGAUAUAAUUUGAAACUUCUUUUCUUCUUAUGACAUAUACUUACACAAGCAUUAAAUGGCUUUGCUAAGAAAUCUUUUAUGUAUGAAUGUGAGUACAUUUUAUAGGUCUAAUGGAAAAUGUAAAAUCUAGGGCUUACAUGGAUUAAGGAGGAAGACUUAAAUGUUCAGAGACCCUAAGUCAUCACUUUGCUUCUCAUGUUAAUAUGAGAAUAUUCUUUGCUUGUAUUAUACUGCUUUAUAAUUGCAAAGCAAUGAACAGUGUACUCCAUUAUUUCUUAAAAUGUUCUCUUUCCUCAGGCUAAAAUACUUGAAUAUUUUUAAUGUUGAAAAAACAGCCACUGCUCUCUUUAAAAAGAAGUAGUUUUGUUUAGGGAGUUGAUAUAAUAACCUUAAGAAGUAUAAAGCACUAUUGAAGUACCUGAAUGUUAGUUUUAAAGUUAAAAUGUGCUCGAAGUGAAAAUGAGGCUUUUUUUGCUCAAUUUUAGAUUAAAAAAAAUUAUGUGAAUGUAACUUUUCUCUCUACCCUUAAUUACUAUUCCCAAACUGUCUACCAACUUUCUUUUUGCUGCCUAUUAUCUUAAUAAGGACAAUGCUGAUAGUAUGAGUUUUCAUUUAGAACACCUGUUAAGUCUCUAGUGCUU
This 1809-nucleotide long non-coding RNA is filed under the name Sus scrofa (pig). RNAcentral's name for it is "lncRNA (ENSSSCG00035062535.1)". The record is from RNAcentral. Lineage: Eukaryota; Metazoa; Chordata; Mammalia; Artiodactyla; Suidae.